CUGGUGUAAGCUGUGGACUUCCACCGGCCCAAUAUUUUAAUGAUGUGCGCAGGAAUAUUCCUCUUUGAAGCGGUAGUAGCCGCUCCUAUUCGAAAUGAGUGACCAGAAUAUUUGGCGGGAUUUAGUCCCAACCUAACUAACAACGUUCUUACAUAGAGCAUGAACUUACUGAUAGUGAGGGUAUUACCGUAUAAUGCUAGCAGUGGUUGAUGUGGUGCUAUUGAAAUGGAAGAAAGGUAUUGGUCGAAGACUUUCACGGGGCAUCAUUUAUUACCAGUAGGGUAAUAGGUAAUAGUGACCGUCUG
Pelobates cultripes (western spadefoot toad) is the source of this 305-nucleotide non-coding RNA. Lineage: Eukaryota; Metazoa; Chordata; Amphibia; Anura; Pelobatidae. The record is from the annotation of a GenBank genome assembly.